AUUGAACGCUGGCGGAAUGCUUUACACAUGCAAGUCGAACGGCAGCACGGGGGCAACCCUGGUGGCGAGUAGCGAACGGGUGAGUAAUACAUCGGAACGUGCCCAGUCGUGGGGGAUAACGUAGCGAAAGUUACGCUAAUACCGCAUACGAUCUACGGAUGAAAGCGGGGGACCGUAAGGCCUCGCGCGAUUGGAGCGGCCGAUGUCAGAUUAGGUAGUUGGUGAGGUAAAGGCUCACCAAGCCGACGAUCUGUAGCUGGUCUGAGAGGACGACCAGCCACACUGGGACGGAGACACGGCCCAGACUCCUACGGGAGGCAGCAGUGGGGAAUUUUGGACAAUGGGCGCAAGCCUGAUCCAGCCAUUCCGCGUGCAGGACGAAGGCCUUCGGGUUGUAAACUGCUUUUGUACGGAACGAAAAGGCUCUGGUUAAUACCUGGGGCUCAUGACGGUACCGUAAGAAUAAGCACCGGCUAACUACGUGCCAGCCGCCGCGGUAA
RNAcentral lists this ribosomal RNA (500 nucleotides) under uncultured bacterium. RNAcentral's name for it is "partial 16S ribosomal RNA". It matches the Rfam family "Bacterial small subunit ribosomal RNA", at positions 30 to 523 of the family's 1533-position model. The record is from RNAcentral.